RNAcentral lists this ribosomal RNA (406 nucleotides) under uncultured bacterium. Its description in RNAcentral is "partial 16S ribosomal RNA". It matches the Rfam family "Bacterial small subunit ribosomal RNA", at positions 30 to 526 of the family's 1533-position model. The record is from RNAcentral.
AUUGAACGCUGGCGGCAGGCCUAACACAUGCAAGUAGAACGAGUGGCGGACGGGUGAGUAAUGUCUGGGAACCUGCCUGAUGGAGGGGGAUAACUACUGGAAAUGGUAGCUAAUACCGCAUACCAUCGGAUGUGCCCAGAUGGGAUUAGCUAGUAGGUGGGGUAAAGGAUCACCUAGGCGACGAUCCCUAGCUGGUCUGAGAGGAUGAGCAGCCACACUGGAACUGAGACACGGUCCAGACUCCUACGGGAGGCAGCAGUGGGGAAUAUUGCACAAUGGGCGCAAGCCUGAUGCAGCCAUGCCGCGUGUAUGAAGAAGGCCUUCGGGUGGUAAAGUACUUUCAGCGGGGAGACGUUACCCGCAGAAGAAGCACCGGCUAACUCCGUGCCAGCAGCCGCGGUAAUUC